Non-coding RNA from Podarcis lilfordi (Lilford's wall lizard), 4961 nucleotides. The record is from the annotation of a GenBank genome assembly. NCBI's taxonomy places the organism in Eukaryota, Metazoa, Chordata, Lepidosauria, Squamata, Lacertidae.
GCUUUGUCUGCGGGGCUGGCGGCUGACUCCGCGGGCUCCCGGGCGCCUUCGAGCGCGGGAGGGGAGCCGGGCGCACCGUUUGCGUGCUUCGGCAGCGAUCUGAAAGCCUUGCGCGGGAAAACAACAGCAACACUUAAGAGAACGGCCAGUUUUGUCAGAUAUAGGGCUGGAUCCAGUCUGAGUCCAUUGAACUUAGGUCCCAGUCAGGAUUUAACAUCAGCACCUUAGAUUUCAAGGAGACCCAAACUUAACUUGCUUGCACCCGGAUCCUAAGCACGGCUACUCUCUAGUAAGUCUUAUGAAUUCAAUGGGGAUUCCUCCCAGGUAUGUGGGGUUAAGUUUGCAGCAUCAGUCUGGCUCUUACCUUCAUGACGUCGGUGGCUUAACUGGUAGGGGAACCAGAUAUUCCCUAUAACCCCCCCCCCAAAAAAAAACUCCGCUUCCAGUCGCCCCCCCCUUCCCUGAAGCAGCUCAAAAAAACACAGAAGGAACUUUGCGUACUUACUUCAUUGCACUUUGCUACAAAGCAGGCGAAUCUUUCCUCUUGCUGGAGAACCCGGAAAGGUUUGAGCAUGGAGAAAGAAAUGUACUCAGUUUGCAAAACUGUGAAUGCCUCUCUUUGGCUGUUUAAUGGGGGUAAACCCCCACCAAACCUCUCGAUUUCUUUUUGCAGUGAAGGGUGGGAGAAAAAAGGUCCCCCCCCCAAAAAAAAUCGAGUAAUUAAAAAAAUAAGACAAGGAACCAAAUGAAGAGUAAGAUUUGGGAAGUGCGGAGCUCUUCCGAGCGAGAGCAACGCGCAGCUCCAGCUCCCGGCGCGCGGGCUUCCCGGCGGGGGGGGGGGUAGCAGUUUUGCAGCGCGUCGCGUGCGGGAAGCUUGCGCGCUGCCCAAGGAACCGGCCUCCAAGUUCCUCGUUCCAGGAAUGGGCACUUAAGGGACAACUCGCAAUUGCCCCCCUUACUCAGAAACGCAGAGGAGGGGGGCUUCUUCUUCCCUACUCCGCUGCUUCUCCCCGCCCGUGUGACGCAACAGAAGGUGCCCAUUAAUGCAAAAUCAAAAGAACAUGUUCGAAAUGAGGGGAAAUGCUUGCAUUAAUGACCGCCAGUUGAUAAUUAGCAUUUCCACUGCACGGAUUUCGGCGCUGAAGCAGGGCCCGUCAAGAGUUCCAGCCCCCUCUGAGAAACUUCCAUUAAUUUUGUGCAAUGCAUAGUUCUCUUGUUCGGCCAUUCCUCCCAGGAGCUCAAGGCAACAUACAGGGUCUCUUUCUCUCUCUCUCUCUCUCUCUCACACACACACACUCUUUAUCAUCUUCACAGCAAUCCUAUGUUAAGUGAAGAGAGCGCAAUUGGCCCAAGGCCACCUGUCCUAGUGCACUUGAGGCUGCUACAGAGCGUGGCAAGCAAAAUCCUACAAGCUACAAAAGCAAAUUUAAUGCCAAGGAUUAGAAACCAGUAGCUGUUUACUCGUUUGCUUUUUAAUGAUUCAAUCAAAAAAUUAAUUCAGUUUAAAUACAUUUAUUAACUACUCUGUAUUUUUAGCCCACCUUUCAAUGUUUUUUUAUUUAAAUGCUCAACGGGGAGCUUCCAACAACAUCCUUAAAAAAAACGAAUCUGGGCAGCAGGGCAGUGGCAGGACAGGGAAGGUCCUAUCUUCUUAACCAUAUGACAGGUCAUCAGAGCAAAGUCAAGCCUUACUAAGCAGAGAGUUCCAUACUGUCGCUUUUGCCACAGAGACCACCUUAUGCUAUGUACUUGCUGGAUGUGCUCGCUCAGCCAGGGUCAGGGCCAAGUGAAGAGGCUGCCCUGCUGGUCUUAAAGAGCAGGGAGGCUCAUAAGGGAGAAGGCAGCAUUUUAAGUAUUUGUAGUCUGCUUUUCACUCCAGUCCAGUAACAUUAAAAGCACAAUUACCAUAAUACUAGUAGCAAUCAAAAAUAAAAUCAGCAGCAGAAGCAAAAAUAAAUAGAAUAAUAUAAUGGACCCAAGUUGUUCUCAGCUUUAAAGGGUUAAAAAAUCAGCACUUUGAAUUGUGCCUGGAAACAACCCAGAAGCUGAUGCAACUAUUCUAACAGAGGUGUAAUGUGCCCCCGCCCCAAGAACUAGCUCCUGGUAACAUACUAUCAGAUUCUGGGCCAAUGACCCAUGCCUGGAUGUUUUUCAGAGGUGGUCCAUGUAGCGCUCAUUGCAGUAAUCUGGUCUUGAUAGAACAGAAGGGGGUGUCACCAUGGAUAGGUCCAGGGCUUCUUUUUCAGCCAGAACUCAGCUCCGGCACCUCUCAGGUGGGUGCCAUUGUGAUUCCAAGAAAACAAGGGAGGUGUUCAUGGAGAGUUCUGGCACCUCUUUUUCUAGAAAAUUGGCACUAGAUAGAUAUGACUUCUCUAGGAACAGAUGCAGCUGGAACACCAGUCCAGAGUGACCAAAAUCGCUCUUGGCAGCAAUCGAGAGCAGAAAAGAAUUGAGGUUUGCGGGUAGUUGACUUUGUACCUCCUAUGUAUCCUGUUAGAUAUCCUUUCCACAUCAUCGGACUUCACAAACUGAGAAGUAUUCAUGACAUGCAGUUGCUGAAGUUCCAUCCACUGGAUUUGCUCUAACUGUGGCAUCGAAGUUGCAUCAGGGACUCAGGAAGCGGGGGUGUGUGUGUUGCUGGGCAGAGAGAAACUUUUCUCCCUCUCGGUAUUACAACCCACAACCAUCCAGUGAAGCUGAAUGUUACAAGAUUCUGAACAGGCAAAAGGAAGUAUUACUUUACACAAUGCAUAGUCAAACUAGAAUUCAUUACCGCAAGAGGUCCUAACGUAAACUCUAGUCUAAGCCUCCUUUCUCCCUCUCCAGUCUCCAUCAUACCUACCAUUUAAUCACCCCAAGUUCUGCCUGGUGGGUGGGGGUACUCAGGAGUACCUUCUGUCAACCACCCAGGCCAGUUCUUGAUUCCAGAGAUCAACCAAGGCUUUGACAGAAGCACCUGCCAAGAAGACAAAACAAUCCUCCUGAGUCAUCAGAUGGUUUCUGGGUUUCCAUAUGUUUCUACCCUACUUGUGCCAUUGCUGCCUAGGAUUUUGAGUCUCUGGAUAAAUUAGCAAAAGCUAGAAAUCUCAAAAUAGUACUGAAAUACAAUGCACCUGAAAUAUGCUUGUAACCAGUGUAUAUCGUGCUGGUACUCAUCAUGAGGUUGUUAUAAUAAAUGCCACACUUUUAAAAUGGGGGGGGGGAAGCUGCCAGUACUGAAUACCCUGGAGUACCCCCGGGGGGGGGGGACACUGCUUGUAACAUUUCCCAAACAAAUAUUAUUUGGAAUAUAUUCAUAAAAAUUGUAACACUGCAAUAUACCUGGGAUUGUUUAAAAAAGUAAAGGGGGCUGUAGCUCUUUUUAGUAAGUAGAUUUACACUACAUCUUUCUCUUUACAGCUUCCUUUAAGAAUCCUUAUAUUUUGGUAAGUGAAAGAUUGAGCCAAUUUUCCUCCUGCCAGGAAGCAGAUUAGUGGGUCUUUUCACAGAAGCUCCUCCCCUCCUCCUCUAGGACAAAACCAGUUCAUUAAGGAACUGUGACAAAGGCUUUCCAGGAAAGUGAUUCCUUUUUGAUGCUGGUGGAGAAAGAACCAAAGCCCAUGACACACAUUUCUCCCUGUCCAAAUGUGCUACCAUGCUUGUUUGAUCCCUAUGUCCCUAUACAUGUCUGCAACCUACUUUUCUUUUCAGAUAGGAAGCCCAUCUGGAACCCAGAUGGCUGGUGGGAUUUUGCUGUGGCGCCAGAGUGGUCACUUAUUAAGUCAGGUAUUUCUGGGGGUACUCAAGGAUACACAGUACUGGCACCUUUCCCUCCCUACACUGGUCAAAAUCGUAGCACUUACUGCAACCACGUCAUGGUGAGUAUCGGCACAUUUACUCCUCCCUCCCCCGAAGAAAAGCACUGGGUAUAGGACGCGGGUGGCGUUGUGGGUUAAACCACAAAGCCUAGAAGUUGCCAAUCAGAAGGUUGGCGGUUCGAAUCCCCGUGAUGGGGUGAGCUCCCAUUGCUCCUGCCAACCUAGCAGUUCAAAAGCACGUCAAAGUGCAAGUAGAUAAAUAGGUACCGCUCCAGCGGGAAGGUAAAUGGCAUUUCCGUGUGCUGCUCUGGUUCUCCAGAAGCGGCUUAGUUAUGCUGGCCAAAUGACCUGGAAGCUGUACGCCGGCUCCCUCGGCCAAUAAAGUGAGAUGAGUGCUGCAACCCCAGAGUCGGUCACAACUGGUCAGGGGUCCCUUUACCUAUAGGACAGGUAGAGCUGAGCAGAAAGAGGGCUUGCAAAACCCCAGGUAAAGCCUGUAUAUGGUGCUUUGUAAGCCCCCAAAAUCAGCUGAUCAUCAGUGCUUGCAAAGCACAGGGCUGUGCCUUUGCCAGUUUAAUUGCAGACCACAUGGGCAAAAAUGGGCUACCUGAUGUCAUUGUGAUGCCAGAUGAUUGUUAUGGAAACCUUUGCUUUUUGCUACUCUUAAUAUUUUAUUUGUGCUGGAGAACAGACUCCUGUCAGUCCAGUGCAGCUGGCACCCCAAAACUAGUAGGUUUAACCAGAUCAGUAGGACCGCAUGAGGAACUCUGUAGUUUCAGUAAUAUAGAGUAUCCUGUACAAUUCCUGGGAGGGAAAGAGGAAAUCAGCGCUUUUCCAGAAAAGGGAUUUUAUUCAUAGAGCAACUGCAAGAUCAAUUACCGAAAACUAUCCCAGAUGGGAGGGGGAAGCAGCAAUGAGCCAAAUGCAGAAUAGUGUAUAUGGAGAGAAAAGGGUGAGAGCUGGCAGCACUGACAAGAGGGAGAAAUUGAGAGAGAGAGAGAGAGGGGAAGAGGGUGCUGGUUAGUUUUUAAACCUUCCUUCCUUGCAAUUUGUCAAAAGCACUUCAGCAGAAGAGAGAACGGGGAUCCUCCAUGAGACGGUAAAUCCAAGGGCAAAUGAAGCUCAUGUUCCCAGAUUGUAGCAAGAAAACACCAUGGAGCACAG